Phyllostomus discolor (pale spear-nosed bat) is the source of this 129-nucleotide long non-coding RNA. RefSeq lists it as uncharacterized. The record is from RefSeq and is a predicted model, not a curated record. Lineage: Eukaryota; Metazoa; Chordata; Mammalia; Chiroptera; Phyllostomidae. The transcript is spliced from 2 exons.
CUCAUAUGCCUCCAAAUGUGGACCUGGCUUGCAACCCAGGCAUGUGCCCUGACUGGGAAUGUAACUAGUAAUCCUUUGGUCCGCAGGCCGUUGCUCAAAUCCACUGAGCCACAACUGCCAGGGCCAUUU